GGAUGAACGCUAGCGGCAGGCCUAACACAUGCAAGUCGAGGGGUAGAGGAAGCUUGCUUCCUUGAGACCGGCGCACGGGUGCGUAACGCGUAUGCAAUCUACCUUGUACAGAGGGAUAGCCCAGAGAAAUUUGGAUUAAUACCUCAUAGUGUUAUCGAAUCGCAUGGUUUGAUAACUAAAGUUCCAACGGUACAAGAUGAGCAUGCGUCCCAUUAGCUAGUUGGUGUGGUAACGGCAUACCAAGGCAAUGAUGGGUAGGGGUCCUGAGAGGGAGAUCCCCCACACUGGUACCGAGACACGGACCAGACUCCUACGGGAGGCAGCAGUGAGGAAUAUUGGACAAUGGGCGCAAGCCUGAUCCAGCCAUGCCGCGUGCAGGAUGACGGUCCUAUGGAUUGUAAACUGCUUUUAUACAGGAAGAAACCCUACCACGUGUGGUAGAUUGACGGUACUGUAGGAAUAAGGAUCGGCUAACUCCGUGCCAGCAGCCGCGGUAAUACGGAGGAUCCAAGCGUUAUCCGGAAUCAUUGGGUUUAAAGGGUCCGUAGGCGGUUUAAUAAGUCAGUGGUGAAAGCCCAUCGCUUAACGAUGGAACGGCCAUUGAUACUGUUAGACUUGAGUUAUUAGGAAGUAACUAGAAUAUGUAGUGUAGCGGUGGAAUGCUUAGAUAUUACAUGGAAUACCAAUUGCGAAGGCAGGUUACUACUAAUAUAUUGACGCUGAUGGACGAAAGCGUGGGGAGCGAACAGGAUUAGAUACCCUGGUAGUCCACGCCGUAAACGAUGGAUACUAGCUGUUGGGCGCAAGCUCAGUGGCUAAGCGAAAGUGAUAAGUAUCCCACCUGGGGAGUACGUUCGCAAGAAUGAAACUCAAAGGAAUUGACGGGGGCCCGCACAAGCGGUGGAACAUGUGGUUUAAUUCGAUGAUACGCGAGGAACCUUACCAGGGCUUAACAUGUNAAAUGACNGGACUGGAAACANNUUUUUNCUCGGAANCUUUACAAGGUGCUGCAUGGUUGUC
Molecule: ribosomal RNA, 1020 nt
Filed under: bacterium enrichment culture clone C_2011_SML_4
Lineage: Bacteria
Description: bacterial SSU rRNA
Rfam family: Bacterial small subunit ribosomal RNA
Source: RNAcentral